RNAcentral lists this unclassified non-coding RNA (222 nucleotides) under Hevea brasiliensis (rubber tree). Lineage: Eukaryota; Viridiplantae; Streptophyta; Magnoliopsida; Malpighiales; Euphorbiaceae. The record is from RNAcentral.
CGUUGCAGGCGCGAUCACGCUGCUUCAGCACGCGGUCGAGGAAGCCAGGUCCGCGAUCGGACAGAUGUUGAACCGGUCCUGACCGGAUUUUCCGCACGGCUUUUAUCCCCCGGCAGUGCUGGCGUCCCGCCAACCGACCCGUUAUAGGACGUCUCCAACUGAAUUAUCCGGGCAGCACGUCUAAUAUGGUCAAGAUCAACUUCACCGAUCACUCUGGCACCA